RNAcentral lists this long non-coding RNA (277 nucleotides) under Cyanistes caeruleus (blue tit). Its description in RNAcentral is "lncRNA (ENSCCEG00000011356.1)". The record is from RNAcentral. Lineage: Eukaryota; Metazoa; Chordata; Aves; Passeriformes; Paridae.
UGGAGACAUGACACUGGAGUCCUUUUGAUGCCUCCUAUUCAUGCAUCUGUCAGAACUUCACGUUCUUUGAAAAAUAGACAUUGUGCUAUGGACAUGCCAGGAAUUUAGGACACAAAUGGGAUUUCAGCCUGGAAAUGCUUCUGUACUGUCUAAGCCUGGUGAGCUGGAUGAAGGAGGAUUUUUCCAUAAUUUUUCUCUGGAUUUGAGAUUCUUGCUCUCAGUUUUAUACCAAGGUUGUUUCAUAAAAACAUCUUCAACCAACUUGAUUUCAACCUGA